AUUGAACGCUGGCGGAAUGCUUUACACAUGCAAGUCGAACGGCAGCACGGACUUCGGUCUGGUGGCGAGUGGCGAACGGGUGAGUAAUGUAUCGGAACGUGCCCAGUCGUGGGGGAUAACGUAGUGAAAAUUACGCUAAUACCGCAUACGAUCUAUGGAUGAAAGCGGGGGACCGCAAGACCUCGCGCGAUUGGAGAGGCCGAUAGCAGAUUAGGUAGUUGGUGGGGUAAAGGCCCACCAAGCCAACGAUCUGUAGCUGGUCUGAGAGGACGACCAGCCACACUGGAGCUGAGACACGGUCCAGACUCCUACGGGAGGCAGCAGUGGGGAAUUUUGGACAAUGGGCGAAAGCCUGAUCCAGCCAUUCCGCGUGCAGGAUGAAGGCCCUCGGGUUGUAAACUGCUUUUGUACAGAACGAAAAGGUUUCUACUAAUACUAGGAGCUCAUGACGGUACUGUAAGAAUAAGCACCGGCUAACUACGUGCCAGCCGCCGCAGUAA
Molecule: ribosomal RNA, 500 nt
Filed under: uncultured bacterium
Lineage: Bacteria
Description: partial 16S ribosomal RNA
Rfam family: Bacterial small subunit ribosomal RNA
Source: RNAcentral